Enhydra lutris kenyoni (northern sea otter) is the source of this 417-nucleotide non-coding RNA. NCBI's taxonomy places the organism in Eukaryota, Metazoa, Chordata, Mammalia, Carnivora, Mustelidae. The record is from the annotation of a RefSeq genome assembly.
AUGAGGUUCCCUGCUCAGCUCCUUGGGCUGCUAAUGCUUUGGAUCCCUGGAUCCAGUGGGGAAAUCGUGAUAACACAGACCCCACUGUCCCUGCCCAUCACCCCCGGAGAGUCAGCCUCCAUCUCCUGCAGGGCCAGUCAGAGCCUCCUGCAUAGUAAUGGAAACACCUAUUUGUAUUGGUUCCGGCAGAAGCCAGGCCAGUCCCCACAGGACCUGAUCUAUAAGGUUUCGAACCGGUAUUCCUGGGUCCCAGACAGGUUCAGUGGCAGCGGGUCAGGGACAGAUUUUACCCUGAGAAUCAGCAGGGUGGAGGCUGACGAUGUGGGAGUUUAUUACUGUGGACAAGGUACACAUCUUCAUCCAUUCCUCUGUGGUUGUACACGUGGGUGGCUUGCACAUCUUGGCUAUUGCAAAUAA